GACGAACGCUGGCGGCGUGCUUAACACAUGCAAGUCGAACGGAAAGGCCCUGCUUUUGUGGGGUGCUCGAGUGGCGAACGGGUGAGUAACACGUGAGUAACCUGCCCUUGACUUUGGGAUAACUUCAGGAAACUGGGGCUAAUACCGGAUAGGAGCUCCUGCUGCAUGGUGGGGGUUGGAAAGUUUCGGCGGUUGGGGAUGGACUCGCGGCGUAUCAGCUAGUUGGUGGGGUAGUGGCUUACCAAGGCUUUGACGGGUAGCCGGCCUGAGAGGGUGACCGGCCACACUGGAACUGAGACGCGGUCCAGACGCCUACGGGAGGCAGCAGUAGGGAAUCUUCCGCAAUGGGCGAAAGCCGGACGGAGCAACGCCGCGUGAGUGACGAAGGUCUUCGGAUCGUAAAACUCUGUUAUUAGGGAAGAACAAAUGUGUAAGUAACUAUGCACGUCUUGACGGUACCUAAUCAGAAAGCCACGGCUAACUACGUG
RNAcentral lists this ribosomal RNA (488 nucleotides) under uncultured bacterium. RNAcentral describes it as "partial 16S ribosomal RNA". It matches the Rfam family "Bacterial small subunit ribosomal RNA", at positions 28 to 507 of the family's 1533-position model. The record is from RNAcentral.